RNAcentral lists this unclassified non-coding RNA (1644 nucleotides) under Hevea brasiliensis (rubber tree). The record is from RNAcentral. Lineage: Eukaryota; Viridiplantae; Streptophyta; Magnoliopsida; Malpighiales; Euphorbiaceae.
GAACCGAAUAAUGCUCACCCCUACAUUCAACACAGAAUAAGAGUUAACCGGUAAACAUUCCCCUCAGAAAAUAAAUAAGGAAUCAACAAUAUUAUCGAAAACUAGCUAUUAGAAAGCAUUCCAGAACCUGAAAUUGUUCACUUGUAUCAGAGGAUGAAAAUUAAAUCAAAGCUACAAGGCUACAGCAAAAGUUUCACACAUAGACGCCUAAGGCCGAUGGUAACAGGCUAUAAGCAAAUUCUAGUUCAGUUCCUAUGAUGCAUUACCUAAGCAAAUUUACUGCCGGGAACAACAAUGCAACAAAAAGAGGAUAAGUCAACUUACCUUUAUGUUAAAGAAUCUCAAUCGUCUACGAUACACAAAAAUCUUUGUCAACACAAUUAAGCUUCAUAAACAAGGUUAAUAUUUUCAAACACAUGGAAGAUCUGUCUAUUAUUAUCAUGAUUUUGUGGAUCUAUAGGUUAAAUAUUAAUUAAUAUCAAAAGUCAAUGCAUUAAGAAUUAUUUUGUUCUUGGUUAGUCAAGGUCUCUAGAGGUGUCAGUAGAGACAAUGGAGGCUUUUGGUAUUGUCAAAUAUUGAGAGAGGAUGAGAGAUCACAGAGUUAGGGUUUAGAUUUCUGGUGCUGUUUAGAUGAACCCAAAAUGACCAUUAAAACAAACACACGCGUGUGCGAGCGCAUUCAAACCAAAUAAUCAAUCUGGCCUGAUUACUGUCAAUCAAACUGAAUUUUCGGGUCGGGUCAGUUUGGUUAAUUCAUAUGGUGGUGAGCUAUUCCAAUACUUCUUUCAUGUCACCGUGAUAAUAUGUGCACGACCAAAUGCCCAAUAGACAAAGGCAGCAGCUUCACAUACAUAAAAGCCAACUCUAUGUAGAUCUAUUCAAAUAUCAUAAUGCAAUGCUUGCAAGGAAAAAUUAUUCUUGAUCAGUGUCAGUGUUUUGUCAAUUAUCAUAAUCAUCAGUAUCCUUCCAAUUCUUAAGGCAUAAAUGACAAAUCUCUAUUAAAAAUCUUAAAAGCAAUCAAGUGCUAUAAAAUAUGUAAUGCAAGUCAAGAGACAUAAGAGAUGCUGAGCAAGGCACACUAAAGGCCACAAAAAACAAUAUAAAUUAUCAAUCACAUAAAUAGUAUCACAGCUGAUCCAAAUUAGAAAAUUUUUUCAAAAAAUCAAAUUGAAAUGAAAGGAAUAAAGAGAGGCUGCCAAAAACCAGACAUCUCUCAUAUUUUAAGCUCCAGGAAUUGAAAAUUAAGAAGUACAAAGGGAAAAUUAGAGAAUCACACAAACGCUCGUGCGCGCGCGCACGCGCGCACACGCACACACAACGAGGGAGGGAGGGAAGAAGGGAGGGAGGGAAGGAGAGAGAUGAACUUUGUCACCUUUCUAAGAAGGGUUAACAAUGUUCAUGUUGCCAAUACCACUUAUAUUUGUAUUCUACAGAAAAGAGAGAUAAAAAGAAAAAAGAGCAAUAUAUUAUUUUUGAACUUUCAAGAUGAAACUUAAAAAAUGCUUACUGGAGGUCACGUUGAGGAUAUACAGAAAUAAAUUGUGGAAAGUAAGGAUAGUAUACUUGGAUAACAAGGUAAAAAACGCUAAAUUUGACAAGGGAAAAUGGUAUUCACAAUCACAUGGAGACACAAAUGAAAUAUGG